This 468-nucleotide ribosomal RNA is filed under the name uncultured bacterium. RNAcentral describes it as "partial 16S ribosomal RNA". It matches the Rfam family "Bacterial small subunit ribosomal RNA", at positions 28 to 507 of the family's 1533-position model. The record is from RNAcentral.
GACGAACGCUGGCGGCGUGCUUAACACAUGCAAGUCGAACGGAAAGGCCCUGCUUUUGUGGGGUGCUCGAGUGGCGAACGGGUGAGUAACACGUGAGUAACCUGCCCUUGACUUUGGGAUAACUUCAGGAAACUGGGGCUAAUACCGGAUAGGAGCUCCUGCUGCAUGGUGGGGGUUGGAAAGUUUCGGCGGUUGGGGAUGGACUCGCGGCUUACCAGCUUGUUGGUGGGGUAGUGGCUUACCAGGGCUUUGACGGGUAGCCGGCCUGAGAGGGUGACCGGCCACAUUGGGACUGAGAUACGGCCCAGACUCCUACGGGAGGCAGCAGUGGGGAAUAUUGCACAAUGGGCGGAAGCCUGAUGCAGCAACGCCGCGUGCGGGAUGACGGCCUUCGGGUUGUAAACCGCUUUCGCCUGUGACGAAGCGUGAGUGACGGUAAUGGGUAAAGAAGCACCGGCUAACUACGUG